Meriones unguiculatus (Mongolian gerbil) is the source of this 2090-nucleotide long non-coding RNA. RefSeq lists it as uncharacterized. NCBI's taxonomy places the organism in Eukaryota, Metazoa, Chordata, Mammalia, Rodentia, Muridae. The record is from RefSeq and is a predicted model, not a curated record. The transcript has 2 exons.
AUGAAAUAAAUGGAUGUGAGCCAGUUUAUGUACUAAGGAUAAAGCUAAAUCUGGGAUGGGGGAUGGGAAGCAUAAAAGUGGGAGUUUGAUUUUAGAACAGGUGACCAGGACUAGCUUUGCUGACAAGUUGACAUCUUCCAGGAAGGUGAGCCUUGGAAGAAGUGACAUUGUGCUCGCCCCAAACAGAGGACACCUUGGUUCAAAGGAAUGGUUCACGCAAAGGUCUCCAGAGAGGAACCCACUUACAGCUCAGAGGUGGAGCCAAGCGGACCAGAAGGAAAGUGAUGGAGACAGGGAAAACAGGCCAGAUACCGUAGGGUCUCGGCUUCGACUUCCCCCCCCUGGAUCAAAGGGGAUUUGUAGGGUUUUUGUUUUGUUUUAAGCAACAGCAUCAUCCGGAUUACUGGGGGGAAGUCUUUUGAAAUGCAAUCUUAAAUUGAAAGCAAAUCUGAGCUGGAGGGUAGAUCAGAGGUAGAGCCCUCACUAGAAUAUACAGUGUUGCAGGUGCACGCUCCAGCGCUGGGAAGGGUAGAGAAAUUGUACUGCUCCGCCCCGACCCCAGGCAGCCUCUCAAGUUCUGAAUCUACCUACACAGUCACACAGAGUGAGCAUAGACACUUACACACCUAUCCACAGAGAGAGGAGAAAGAAUGCUACAUUGGUUGUGCUCCAUGAACAUGUUAGCACCCCUAGUAGCCUGACUCCAUAGUCUAUGGAUUGUGACAAAAGCCAGUUAAGAGAGCUCCCCGCUUGUAGUUUGCCAAGGUGUUUUGCUUUUUGGGUUUUAUCUAAUGAAUAGAUAACUGGGUUUUCAAACACUUCUGGUUUACCUUUUCAACGGUUGAAUGUUCUCUCACGAAUCAAUAAGUUGGACCUCUGGAGCUUGUCUGUGUACCACGGCCUCCGGGUCCUGCCAUGACCUGCUCUUGUCAGAGAAACCUGGAGCCACCAUCCUCUCCAGUGCCCCUCCCCCCAUGUCUGAAGGACUACCUCACAGCAGGGUUCAAGUUGCCUCAACCUAGGCUAACUAUUCUGCCACAGAACUACACUCCACCUCGCCCCACUUACUUCAGCAUAAGGUAACCCUCUCCAUUUCCCCGCCGCCCGUGCUCGUUGCCAGUAGGUUUUGCUACAUGGGAGGCUGGUCACACCCUGUCCUUAUGGAGAAGUAGGAUGUCCACAGGAUAUUGUGUGGCUGACUUCUGGCAGGGAUGGGACCCAGUCCCCAAGAAGCAGAAGAGACUACUUUGCAACCUGAGGUGAAGAUAGAGCACGUACUUCCUCUUGAGUUGGGUUAAGACACUGAAUCAGCAGUGGGAAGAAAAGGGGAACUGUUUCUCCUGUUGGCAGUUACACAACUAUAAAUAAAUCCUCAUUAGCCACUGGCUCUGCACUAGGAGAAAUGCAGAUUAUACAUGCAGAGAAAAUAAGAUUAUAGUUGGGCAUGGUGGUCUACAAAAAGAGUCCAGCACAGCCAGGAGCCAGGAGCCAGGGCUAUAUGUAGAAACCCUGUCUCAAAAAACCAAAAGAAGAGGAAGAGGAAGAAGAAAAGAAGAAAGAAGAUUGGCUUGGUGACAGACACCUUUGAUACCAGCACUCAGGAAGUAGAGAGCUCAGACAGUCCAACAACUUGCACCAGAGCCCUGGCCUUCAGCAUCCUUCACUUCUGCAGCCUUCGUGGUGCCAAGUCUAUUGACUUGGACCUCUGCCUCGUCUUUCUUCUCUUGCGCUUCAGCCUGCGCAUUCGCUUCUUCCGCCACUUGGUUCUCACGGUGCAGGAGUUUCAAAGAAGAUGGUGCUAACGCUGAGCGCAGCGUAUGUUCUUAACGACCAUUCCCAGCCCCCUGAUCAGACUUAACUUUCAAAUGCUUUCUUACCUUCUGUAGCUCCACUUCAGGUGAGGGCAUCUCAAGACCCUCCUCCGUGAUGAUGAUGAACACAGAAACCCUCAACUGGCCAAUGUAGAAUAAGAGACUUCGGAAUGUUCUGCCCGGAAUGGAACACACAUGUCAUGCCCCUCCAUCAAAGACUCAGAAUCAUUGCAGAAGAGGACAGGGGGCUGUGAGCACACAGCAGGGCCGCUGCAUACA